This 627-nucleotide ribosomal RNA is filed under the name Rhizopus arrhizus. Its description in RNAcentral is "eukaryotic LSU rRNA". The stretch from base 224 to 377 matches the Rfam family "5.8S ribosomal RNA". Lineage: Eukaryota; Fungi; Mucoromycota; Mucoromycetes; Mucorales; Rhizopodaceae. The record is from RNAcentral.
UCCGUAGGUGAACCUGCGGAAGGAUCAUUAAUUAUGUUAAAGCGCCUUACCUUAGGGUUUCCUCUGGGGUAAGUGAUUGCUUCUACACUGUGAAAAUUUGGCUGAGAGACUCAGACUGGUCAUGGGUAGACCUAUCUGGGGUUUGAUCGAUGCCACUCCUGGUUUCAGGAGUACCCUUCAUAAUAAACCUAGAAAUUCAGUAUUAUAAAGUUUAAUAAAAAACAACUUUUAACAAUGGAUCUCUUGGUUCUCGCAUCGAUGAAGAACGUAGCAAAGUGCGAUAACUAGUGUGAAUUGCAUAUUCAGUGAAUCAUCGAGUCUUUGAACGCAGCUUGCACUCUAUGGUUUUUCUAUAGAGUACGCCUGCUUCAGUAUCAUCACAAACCCACACAUAACAUUUGUUUAUGUGGUGAUGGGUCGCAUCGCUGUUUUAUUACAGUGAGCACCUAAAAUGUGUGUGAUUUUCUGUCUGGCUUGCUAGGCAGGAAUAUUACGCUGGUCUCAGGAUCUUUUUUUUUGGUUCGCCCAGGAAGUAAAGUACAAGAGUAUAAUCCAGUAACUUUCAAACUAUGAUCUGAAGUCAGGUGGGAGUACCCGCUGAACUUAAGCAUAUCAAUAAGCGGAGGA